CCUACGGGUGGCAGCAGUGGGGAAUAUUGCACAAUGGGCGAAAGCCUGAUGCAGCAACGCCGCGUGAGCGAUGAAGGCCUUUGGGUCGUAAAGCUCUGUCCUUGGGGAAGAAAAAAAUGACGGUACCCUUGGAGGAAGCACCGGCUAACUACGUGCCAGCAGCCGCGGUAAUACGUAGGGGGCAAGCGUUAUCCGGAAUUAUUGGGCGUAAAGAGUGCGUAGGUGGUUUUAUAAGCGCGGGGUGAAAGGCAAUGGCUCAACCAUUGUAAGCCCUGCGAACUGUAAGACUUGAGUGCAGGAGAGGAAAGUGGAAUUCCUAGUGUAGCGGUGAAAUGCGUAGAUAUUAGGAGGAACACCAGUGGCGAAGGCGACUUUCUGGACUGUAACUGACACUGAGGCACGAAAGCGUGGGGAGCAAACAGGAUUAGAUACCCCAGUAGUC
RNAcentral lists this ribosomal RNA (442 nucleotides) under uncultured bacterium. RNAcentral's name for it is "partial 16S ribosomal RNA". It matches the Rfam family "Bacterial small subunit ribosomal RNA", at positions 338 to 795 of the family's 1533-position model. The record is from RNAcentral.